Molecule: transfer RNA, 72 nt
Filed under: Felis catus (domestic cat)
Lineage: Eukaryota; Metazoa; Chordata; Mammalia; Carnivora; Felidae
Description: tRNA-OTHER
Rfam family: tRNA
About the family: Transfer RNA (tRNA) molecules are approximately 80 nucleotides in length. Their secondary structure includes four short double-helical elements and three loops (D, anti-codon, and T loops).
Source: RNAcentral
CCUGGCUAGCUCAUUUGGUAGAGCAUGAGACUCUUGAUCUCAGGGUUGUGAGUUCAAACUCCAUGUUGGGUG